GAUGAACGCUGGCGGCGUGCCUAAUACAUGCAAGUCGAGCGAACAGACGAGGAGCUUGCUCCUCUGACGUUAGCGGCGGACGGGUGAGUAACACGUGGAUAACCUACCUAUAAGACUGGGAUAACUUCGGGAAACCGGAGCUAAUACCGGAUAAUAUAUUGAACCGCAUGGUUCAAUAGUGAAAGACGGUUUUGCUGUCACUUAUAGAUGGAUCCGCGCCGCAUUAGCUAGUUGGUAAGGUAACGGCUUACCAAGGCAACGAUGCGUAGCCGACCUGAGAGGGUGAUCGGCCACACUGGAACUGAGACACGGUACAGACGCCUACGGGAGGGAGCAGUAGGGAAUCUUCCGCAAUGGGCGAAAGCAUGACGGAGCAACGCCGCGUGAGUGAUGAAGGUAUUCGGAUCGUAAAACUCUGUUAUUAGGGAAGAAAAAAUGUGUAAGUAACUAUGCACGUAUUGACGGUACCUAAUCAGAAAGACACGGCUAACUACGUG
This 497-nucleotide ribosomal RNA is filed under the name uncultured bacterium. RNAcentral's name for it is "partial 16S ribosomal RNA". It matches the Rfam family "Bacterial small subunit ribosomal RNA", at positions 28 to 507 of the family's 1533-position model. The record is from RNAcentral.